CCUACGGGUGGCAGCAGUGAGGGAUAUUGGUCAAUGGGGGAAACCCUGAACCAGCAACGCCGCGUGAGGGAAGACGGUUUUCGGAUUGUAAACCCCUGUUCUUUGGGAAGAUAAUGACGGUAGCAGAGGAGGAAGCACCGGCUAACUACGUGCCAGCAGCCGCGGGAAUACGUAGGGAGCCAGCGUUAUUCGGAUUUACUGGGUGUAAAGGGUGCGUAGGCGGGUAAGCAAGUCAGAAGUGAAAUCCUUGGGCUUAACCAUUGAACUGCUUUUGACACUGUUUAUCUUGAGUGUGGGAGAGGUAGGCGGAAUUCGUGGUGUAGCGGUGAAAUGCGUAGAGAUCAGGAGGAACACCAGUGGCGAAGGCGGCCUACUGGAGCUUAACUGACGCUGAUGCACGAAAGCGUGGGUAGCAAACAGGAUUAGAUACCCUAGUAGUC
This 440-nucleotide ribosomal RNA is filed under the name uncultured bacterium. Its description in RNAcentral is "partial 16S ribosomal RNA". It matches the Rfam family "Bacterial small subunit ribosomal RNA", at positions 338 to 795 of the family's 1533-position model. The record is from RNAcentral.